Molecule: ribosomal RNA, 429 nt
Filed under: Actinomycetes bacterium
Lineage: Bacteria; Bacillati; Actinomycetota; Actinomycetes
Description: Actinobacteria bacterium partial 16S ribosomal RNA
Rfam family: Bacterial small subunit ribosomal RNA
Source: RNAcentral
UAGGGAAUCUUCCGCAAUGGGCGAAAGCCUGACGGAGCAACGCCGCGUGUGUGAUGAAGGUCUUCGGAUCGUAAAACUCUGUUAUUAGGGAAGAACAAAUGUGUAAGUAACUAUGCACGUCUUGACGGUACCUAAUCAGAAAGCCACGGCUAACUACGUGCCAGCAGCCGCGGUAAUACGUAGGUGGCAAGCGUUAUCCGGAAUUAUUGGGCGUAAAGCGCGCGUAGGCGGUUUUUUAAGUCUGAUGUGAAAGCCCACGGCUCAACCGUGGAGGGUCAUUGGAAACUGGAAAACUUGAGUGCAGAAGAGGAAAGUGGAAUUCCAUGUGUAGCGGUGAAAUGCGCAGAGAUAUGGAGGAACACCAGUGGCGAAGGCGACUUUCUGGUCUGUAACUGACGCUGAUGUGCAAAAGCGUGGGGAUCAAACAGG